CGGAGAUUUUCUUCAGAAAUAACGGUUCUGAAGUUUUUUUUCUUCCCUGAGUGCUAUAAUAGACAAUUAAUUAAUUUACUGAUAUGUUAUUCUUUCAGAAUAAAAGAUUGGAAUGAUAAGGAUUAAUGAGCACCUUUCCCCUUAUAUCCUGUGUCACACUACACAGUAGAUUUAGUAAUGUCAGGAUGCUCUAUUAUAACAGCUGGCCUUUGAUCCUGAUUUGUAUCUUCUUCUUAUUCCCCCCCCUGCACUGCAUAUCCUGAUAACACCUUGUUGGGAAGUGUUUGUUUAAUCAAGUAACACCUUUUGACCAGCUAAUGCCAAAUGUGCUUUAAGUUCUUUUAAUAUGCAAUUGACAG
Non-coding RNA from Pelobates cultripes (western spadefoot toad), 359 nucleotides. Lineage: Eukaryota; Metazoa; Chordata; Amphibia; Anura; Pelobatidae. The record is from the annotation of a GenBank genome assembly.